This 253-nucleotide ribosomal RNA is filed under the name uncultured bacterium. RNAcentral's name for it is "partial 16S ribosomal RNA". It matches the Rfam family "Bacterial small subunit ribosomal RNA", at positions 524 to 776 of the family's 1533-position model. The record is from RNAcentral.
UACGGAGGGUGCAAGCGUUAUCCGGAUUCACUGGGUUUAAAGGGUGCGUAGGUGGGCAGGUAAGUCAGUGGUGAAAUCUCCGAGCUUAACUCGGAAACUGCCGUUGAUACUAUUUGUCUUGAAUAUUGUGGAGGUAAGCGGAAUAUGUCAUGUAGCGGUGAAAUGCUUAGAUAUGACAUAGAACACCAAUUGCGAAGGCAGCUGACGAAACUAUAACUGACACUGAGGCUCGAAAGUGCGGGGAUCAAACAGG